CAACAAAUGUGGGCCAAUUGCUGUGAGUUAAUUGAAAAGGAUUGUUUUCUAGUUGCCAAGAAACGGCCUUUCUUACACUAUGCAGGCCAUUCUGUGCACAGAUGAAACUUCCUGAUUUGUCUUUUAGGGUUUAAGAAUAUAGGCUGCUGUGGUUUCCUUGCCCCUUGUGGAGAAGAGCACACAUCAAGGUUUUCAGGGGGGUUGUUGCAUUUCAGUUUACCAGGUACAGCUGCUGCUGCUGCUGCUGCUGCUGUUGCUGUUGUUGCUGUUGUUGCUGUUCAGGCCCCACACCUGUAUAUAUGAAGCAGACACUCAACGACCAAGCUAUACCCGCUCCACCUUAGAGGUUUUUUGUUGUUGGGUACCAGGGGAUAAAAGGUUUUUCCUCAUUCAAGAGAUGUGAGUCUCAAGUGAUCUGUAGCAGAUGGUGGAAAACUCAUCACUUGUAUUUCUGCUAGAAAGUUCCCUGCAGGCUGGAAGGUGAGUAGUAAUAUGUCAAUAGAUAGAUAAAUAAGAAUGUACAUGGAC
Molecule: long non-coding RNA, 528 nt
Filed under: Dasypus novemcinctus (nine-banded armadillo)
Lineage: Eukaryota; Metazoa; Chordata; Mammalia; Cingulata; Dasypodidae
Description: lncRNA (ENSDNOG00000052027.1)
Source: RNAcentral